RNAcentral lists this ribosomal RNA (202 nucleotides) under uncultured bacterium. Its description in RNAcentral is "partial 16S ribosomal RNA". The record is from RNAcentral.
GACGAACGCUGGCGGCGUGCUUAACACAUGCAAGUCGAGCGGUAAGGCCCUUUCGGGGUACGACGAGCGGCGAACGGGUAGGAGUAACAACGUGGGUGGACCUCGCCCUCCAGCUCUGGGAGUAAGACCUCGGGAAACGUAGGGUCGUAAUAACUGGAGUAUGACUCCACCGGUGGCAUGUCGUAGGGUGGGAAAGGACCUU